AUGUGUUAUUACCAUGCUGUACACAGGUACUGCAAAAAUAGACGAAGACAAAGAGACAACAUGGACAGACAGGAGUAUCUGUGUGUGGAAGAAGAGACAACAUGGACAGACAGGAGUAUCUGUGUGUGGAAGAAGAGACAACAUGGACAGACAGGAGUAUCUGUGUGUGGAAGAAGAGACAACAUGGACAAACAGGAGUAUCUGUGUGUAGAAGAAGAGACAACAUGGACAGACAGGAGUAUCUGUGUGUGGAAGAAGAGACAACAUGGACAGACAGGAGUAUCUGUGUGUGGAAGAAGAGACAACAUGGACAGACAGGAGUAUCUGUGUGUGGAAGAAGAAACAACAUGGACAGACAGGAGUAUCUGUGUGUGGAAGAAGAGACAACAUGGACAGACAGGAGUAUCUGUGUGUGGAAGAAGAGACAACAUGGACAGACAGGAGUAUCUGUGUGUGGAAGAAGAAACAACAUGGACAGACAGGAGUAUCUGUGUGUGGAAGAAGAAACAACAUGGACAGACAGGAGUAUCUGUGUGUGGAAGAAGAAACAACAUGGACAGACAGGAGUAUCUGUGUGUGGAAAAAGAGACAACAUGGACAGACAGGAGUAUCUGUGUGUGGAAGAAGAGACAACAUGGACAGACAGGAGCAUCUGUGUGUGGAAGAAGAAACAACAUGGACAGACAGGAGUAUCUGUGUGUGGAAGAAGAAACAACAUGGACAGACAGGAGUAUCUGUGUGUGGAAGAAGAAACAACAUGGACAGACAGGAGUAUCUGUGUGUGGAAGAAGAAACAACAUGGACAGACAGGAGUAUCUGUGUGUGGAAGAAGAAACAACAUGGACAGACAGGAGUAUCUGUGUGUGGAAGAAGAGACAACAUGGACAGACAGGAGUAUCUGUGUGUGGAAGAAGAAACAACAUGGACAGACAGGAGUAUCUGUGUGUGGAAGAAGAGACAACAUGGACAGACAGGAGUAUCUGUGUGUGGAAGAAGAGACAACAUGGACAGACAGGAGUAUCUGUGUGUGGAAGAAGAGACAACAUGGACAGACAGGAGUAUCUGUGUGUGGAAGAAGAAACAACAUGGACAGACAGGAGUAUCUGUGUGUGGAAGAAGAAACAACAUGGACAGACAGGAGUAUCUGUGUGUGGAAGAAGAAACAACAUGGACAGAGAGGAGUAUCUGUGUGUGGAAGAAGAAACAACAUGGACAGACAGGAGUAUCUGUGUGUGGAAGAAGAAACAACAUGGACAGACAGGAGUAUCUGUGUGUGGAAGAAGAAACAACAUGGACAGACAGGAGUAUCUGUGUGUGGAAGAAGAGACAACAUGGACAGACAGGAGUAUCUGUGUGUGGAAGAAGAAACAACAUGGACAGACAGGAGUAUCUGUGUGUGGAAGAAGAGACAACAUGGACAGACAGGAGUAUCUGUGUGUGGAAGAAGAAACAACAUGGACAGACAGGAGUAUCUGUGUGUGGAAGAAGCCAGUAAACCAGUGUGGACACGGACAUGGCAAAAAAGGCAAAUGUUUUGGUAAAUUUUUUAACCGUCAUUUUUUGAAUGUUAUUUCUUGUUUUUACACUUUAUUGCAUAUAGAUGGCUUAGAUUGUUUGUUCCUUUAUUUGUACUUUUUCUGCUACCACCUUUAUGUUUUGUGUUGUAGGGUUUUACAUGCAAAAAAAUGUAACAAAGAUGGCAAAGAUGUCUACAUCUAA
This 1719-nucleotide long non-coding RNA is filed under the name Oncorhynchus kisutch (coho salmon). RNAcentral describes it as "lncRNA (ENSOKIG00005011898.1)". The record is from RNAcentral. Lineage: Eukaryota; Metazoa; Chordata; Actinopteri; Salmoniformes; Salmonidae.